This 773-nucleotide long non-coding RNA is filed under the name Solanum tuberosum (potato). Its description in RNAcentral is "long non-coding RNA (STUB_LNC008902)". Lineage: Eukaryota; Viridiplantae; Streptophyta; Magnoliopsida; Solanales; Solanaceae. The record is from RNAcentral.
UGACUUGAAAUCUGGUAAUGAAUUAUAUAUUUAAUCACAAAUUUGAUUACAUGAGUGGAUAGCUAAGACGUUAAGGAACUCGUACGACUUUACAAAAUCAAAUUCGAGUGAGUAGAACUCUUGAAACUAAUCUUGGCGUGAAAGGGUAGUUUUUGAACGUCAUGGGUUGAAGGUGUGUUGUGAAAUAAGGGUUUGGAACUCCAAUUCUGAGGUUCUAUCUCCGUGUAAGCCGUUGUAGCGGGGUGGGGUCUGCCGUAGCGGCUCAGUCGUGAAUUAAGUCGAGGAAAAACCCUAAAAAUGUUAUUAUUCUACAAUUUUCAUUCUUGAGAGCUAAUAGACAAACUAGGGCAAGUUCUUGAUAGUUUUCCACCUCUUCUAGAGCUAAAGGUAAGGAUUGUAUUCCCCUAAUCCAUUUUUUGAUCCGUGGAACUUAGAUUCAUGGGUGAUUAUCAUUGGGGGAGGGUUUUGACCUGAAACUACUAGUGGAGAAAGCCUUAAGUUGUGUAUUGAGAUCUUGGGUUUGGCCUAGGGUUGAUGAUUUUCAUUGUAAUCCGGGUAAUUAGGCAUCGUUUAUUGAUCCUUGCAUUAAUUUGUUCUUUUUAGAGCACGAACAAGCAGAAAGAAUCCGAAGAGGGAAGAUUGAAGUGCCUUAGGGGGAUUAAAGCUUGAUUUCGAGGUAGGUGAUAGUUUGAUUUCAUGUUUGUGUGAUGUAUGUUAGUAAUUGCUUCAUUGUAAUGCAUGUAUGUAUGUGAAUAAGGUAUUGUUGAUCAAAC